RNAcentral lists this ribosomal RNA (253 nucleotides) under uncultured bacterium. RNAcentral describes it as "partial 16S ribosomal RNA". It matches the Rfam family "Bacterial small subunit ribosomal RNA", at positions 524 to 776 of the family's 1533-position model. The record is from RNAcentral.
UACGUAGGGGGCAAGCGUUGUCCGGAAUCAUUGGGCGUAAAGCGCGCGUAGGCGGCCCGGUAAGUCCGCUGUAAAAGUCCAGGGCUCAACCCUGGAAAGCCGGUGGAUACUGUCGAGCUAGAGUCCGGAAGAGGCGAGUGGAAUUCCUGGUGUAGCGGUGGAAUGCGCAGAUAUCAGGAGGAACACCGAUGGCGAAGGCAGCUCGCUGGGACGGUACUGACGCUGAGGCGCGAAAGCGUGGGGAGCGAACAGG